This is a long non-coding RNA of Oncorhynchus tshawytscha (Chinook salmon), 4457 nucleotides long. The record is from Ensembl. NCBI's taxonomy places the organism in Eukaryota, Metazoa, Chordata, Actinopteri, Salmoniformes, Salmonidae.
UGGAUUGAACAGUUGCUGGGGAGCUACGUUGAGGAGAAUACAAACUAUUUGGACAUGUUUCAUUACAGGUUUUUAUAUCGUUUUGAUCCUAUUUUCACAAGUUUGAUGAAUUUUCAAAACUCUUAGUACAAAACUCCAAACUGGUAACACUUAACACAGCCAGUCUUACAUUCAAAAGCUUUCAUUGAGCAUUAAUUUUGUUUGUAGACAUCUUUCACCACAGAACAAUUGAUUUGUGAAAUGAGUUUAAUCACAAACACAAAAUGAUAUUCUCAAUGUAGUUAUUUUAACAACCAGUUACUCCAAUAUCAAAAAAAAUGUAAGAUACAUGUUUCAAAAUUGCCUUUGAAUAUAGUAUGCUACAGUACUGUAAAUUAUAGUACAUUACACUGAUUUCACAAACUUGCACAACCCAUUAAAAUUGACUUAGCAUUACAUUUCUAUCCCAUGUGUGAUCAUUGAAGACAUCUUUCACAAUGUAAUUAAAUGAAAGAAACCACGUUUAGCAGGCACUAGUUUGCAUCAAGCCUGUCUGGACCAUUUGGACAUAGGUUCUCACAAAAAAAAUUGCAGUAAAUAUCCUCAUUGUUCAUUCACCUGGGGAAAACCAUUCUGGCAUGGCACAUCCACACCUGACAUACAAUGAGUGUCAGUGGAGGCUGCUGAGGGGAGGAUGGCUCAUAAUAAUGGAUGAAACAAAGUGAUGGACUGUCAUGUGUUUGCUGUAUUUGAUACCAUUCCACCAAUUCCACCCAGCCAUUACCACAAGUCCAUUCUCUCCAAUUAAGGUGCCACCAACCUCCUGUGCUGAAUGUACAAAAUAUUAGGUCUCUUUCCAUGAAAAACUGACCAGGUGAAAGCUAAGAUCCUUUAUUGAUGUCACAAGAAUUAAGCCUUGACAUCAAAUCCAAUUUUGUGUGUCACAUGCGCAGAAUACAACAAGUGUAGACCUUACCGUGAAAUACUUACUUACAAGCCCUUUAAUCAACAAUGCAGUUAUGAAAAAUAUUUACUAAAUAGACAAAAGUUUUUUUUUAAAGUUGAGCACCAAUACAAUAACGAGGCUAUAUACAUGGCUACCGAUACUGAGUCGAUGUGCGGGGGUACAGGUUAGUCAAGGUAACUGAGGUAAUAUGUACAUGUAGGUAGGGGUAAAGUAAUUAUGCAAGGAUAAUAGAUAAUAAACAGCAAGUAGCAGCAGCGUGAAAAAAAAGGGGGGGGGGUCAAUGGAAAUAGUUUGGGUAGCCAUUUGAUUAGCUGUUUAGCAGUCUUAUGGCUUGGGGGUAGAAGCUAUUAAGAAAAACGAUUGUUUGUACAGAUGAACGUGGUACCUUCAGGCAUUUGGAAAUUGCUCCCAAGGAUGAACCAGACUUGUGGAGGUCAACAAUUUUGUUUCUGAGGUCUUGGCAGAUUUCCCCAUGAUGUCAAGCAAAGAGGCACUGAGUUUGAAGGUAGGCCUUGAAAUACAUCCACAGGUACACCUCCAAUUGACUCAAAUUAUGUCAAUUAGCCUAUCAGAAGCUUCUAAAACCAUGGCAUUAUUUUCUGGAAUUUUCCAAGCUGUUAAAAGGCACAGUCAACUUAAUGUAUGUAAACUUCUGACCCACUGGAAUUGUGAUACAGUGAAUUACAAGUUAAAUAAUCUAUCCGUAAACAAUUGUUUGAAAAAUUACUUGUCAUUCACAAAGUAGAAGUCAUAACUGACUUGCCAAAACUAUAGUUAACAAGAAAUUUGUGGAGUGUUUGAAAAACUGAUUUGAAUGACUCCAACCUAAGUGUAUGUAAACUUCUGACUUCAACUGUAUGUAUAUAGGUCAUUUCUGUUUUUGCUUUUUUAAUAUUUUGCCAAAAAUUGCAAAAAAAUACUUUUCACUUUGCAUUUUGGGGUAUUCUGAGUAGAUUGAGGGACUUUAUUAAAAAUCAAUUUUAGAAUAAUGCUAACAAAAUGUGGAAAUGGUCAAGGGGUCUGAAUACUUCCGAAUGCACUGUAUAUUAUGGCAUUAAAUUAAAUCAAAUUUUAUUUGUCACAUGCGCCGAAUACAACAGGUACCUUACAGUGAAAUGCUUACCUACAAGCCCUUAACCAACAAUUCCAUUUUAAGAAAAUACCCUCCCCAAAAAAGUAAGAGAUAAGAAUAACAAAUAAUUAAAGAGCAGCAGAAAAUAACAAUAACGGGGCUAUAUACAGGGGGUACCGGUACAGAGUCAAUGUGCGUGGGCACUGGUGUUGAGGUAAUUAUGUACAUGCAGGUAGGGUUAUUAAAGUGACUAUGCAUAGAUAAUAACAGAGAGUAGAAGCAGCGUGGCGGGGGGCAAUGCAAAUAGUCUUGUGGAGACAUUUGAUUAGCUUUUCAGGAGUUAAUGUUAGAGAACCCUUUUGCAAUUAUGUUAGCACAGCUGAAAACUGUUGUUCUGAUUAAAGCUAUACAACUGGCCUUCAUUAAACUAGUUGAGUAUCUGGAGCGUAAGCAUGUGGGUUCGAUUACAGGCUCAAAAUGGCCAGAAACAAAGCAUUUUCUUUUGAAACUCGUCAGUCUAUUCUUGUUCUGAGAAAUGAAGGCUAUUCCAUGUGAGAAAUUGCCAAGAAACUGAAGAUCUCGUUCAACGCUGUGUACUACUCCGUUCACAGAACAGCGCAAACUGGCCCUAACCAGAAUAGAAAGAGGAGUGGGAGGCCCCGGUGCACAACUGAGCAAGAGGACAAGUACAUUAGUGUCUAGUUUGAGAAACAGACGCCUCACAAGUCCUCAACUGGCAGCUUCAUUAAAUAGUACCCGCAAAACACCAGUCCCAACAUCAACAGUGAAGAGGCGACCCUUGGAAUGCUGGCCUUCUAGGUAGAUUUGCAAAAAAAAAGCCUCAUUUUACAGACGUCUCAGUUUAGAAGCUGAAAUCCUUUGCCAAUUUAAUAUCUCCCAUAGAAGUGAAGGUGUGUUUUUUGUUGAUGACUAAGACAAAUGGGAAACUUCUGUUCUUUAAUUAAAAUUGUAAAAACAAUUCAUGAAUAUUUUUUUUUAUAACGUAAUUUCACAAAAUUACGUGUGGACUGUAACAAGCACAUUACAGUUUCAGUGUUUGAAAAUGAAUAGUACUGCUCCCUAUUUGAUGGUACAUUCCAGUCAAAAGAAAUUGAGUACCUGACUCCUCCCUAUUAAUCACAAAUGUACUCUAAUUCAUUAAGCUGGAGACCCAUAAUUGGCAACAAUUAAAAAUAAUCAGGCCCAUUGUUAAACUUUUGCAUGGCCAUAAAUAUACUAUAAAACAUGCUACCAUGAGCGUCCAUGUGGUAAACAUGAUACAAAAAUAAAUAAGUUAGAAAAACACAGGUUAAAAAAUGAAAUUAGUUAUCCCAAAUCACCUAAUAGUUAGACAACACAUUUAUUUUCACCAUAACACAGUAAAUUCAAGCAAGAAAAAAAGUGGUUGUGUCAGUAACUAUUGUGCCAUCUUCGACAAGUUUGUUACUGAAUGCUGUAAUGCAUUGUGGUUAGAGUGUUGGACUAAUAACCAGAAGGUUGCAAGUUCAAACCCCUGAGAUGACAAGGUACAAAUCUGUCGUUCUGCCCCUGAACAGGCAGUUAACCUACUGUUCCUAGGCCGUCAUUGAAAAUAAGAAUUUGUUCUUAACUGACUUGCCUAGUUAAAUAAAGGUAAAACAUUUUAAAAAUCCUAAAAUGAAGUACUAUUCCGGUAUCUAUACAAGUCCAUAAUCAUGAAUCUGGGUUUCCAACCAUCUUUAUCAAAGGUUCAUCGUCAGAGCAGUCUUGUGACUGAUUUCUCUUCUCUGCCAUAGCUUCUGGUGAAGAAUGAGGGGAAUUCGUGACCAUCUUUAACAAGAGUUAAUCAUCAGAGUUCUCCUCUUCCAAAUAAAUACACAAAAAACCUAUGAGUACUGCAUAAUAGGUAUACACUGACAGAUUCCAAUGUGAUUUAUCAAACAGUGCAGCUCUCAACUAUGUCAAAGAUAAUCCAAAUGGGAAGGGAAAUAUACAAUAAGUGGAAUUCUUACCUGCACUUCUUUCGCCAGCGUUUCCCACAUUGGCUCUAUAGUAAUCUUCCAAGGCUUCUUUAGUUUCACACCUCUCCAGAAUAACCAUCAGGGUCUUCAUUGAUGGAUUCCUCACCAUCUUCUUGAUCAACAGCUCAUCAUCUAAUCUAUCAUCCAAAGACCCUGAGAAAGCAAUACAAAUCAACCGUUGCAUAACAAGACUCAACCUAACCUAAUCUUCUAGGGUGUAUUUUGGAUGGUUUUAAAUCCAUGCUUCGACAUGUGCUGAAAAAUUGUCACCUUCACUUGUGCUUUGAACAAUGUUGGUGCUCCAUCUGUUGACUGCUUUGUUUGUCUUUCCUGGCACACUCUUCUUCGCUGGUGUCGUGGUCUUCUUUACAGCUUUAAGAGGCUUUUUAACUAGGCUAAUUAAGGGCUCGUCAUCAGAAUCAGAAUUCACCUCUUCCUC